ACGCACGCUGGCGGCGUGCUUAACACCUGCCAGUCGAACGAAAAGAGGGAAAGAGCUUGCUCUUUCCGGAAUUGAGUGGCAAACGGGUGAGUAACACGUAAACAACCUGCCUUCAGGAUGGGGACAACAGACGGAAACGACUGCUAAUACCGAAUAAGUUCCAAGAGCCGCAUGGCCCAUGGAAGAAAAGGUGGCCUCUACCUGUACGCUAUCGCCUGCAGCGGGGUUUGCGUCUGAUUAGCUGGUUGGAGGGGUAACGGCCCAACAAGGCGACGAUCCGUAGACGGGCUGAGAGGAUGGAUGGGCACACUGGAAACGAGACACGGGCCAGGACUCCUAGGGGAGCAGCAGGGGGGAAAUUUUCGAAAUGGGGGAAAGCCUGACGGAGCAACGCCGGGGGGGGGAUGACGGCCGUCGGGUUGUAAAACUCCGUGAACCGGGACGAAAAGGCAGAGUGCGAAGAACAAACUGCAUUGACGGUACCGGAAAAGCAAGCCACGGCUAACUACGUG
Molecule: ribosomal RNA, 512 nt
Filed under: uncultured bacterium
Lineage: Bacteria
Description: partial 16S ribosomal RNA
Rfam family: Bacterial small subunit ribosomal RNA
Source: RNAcentral